UGUGUGUUAGUGGAAGCGUCUGGAAAGGCGCGCGAUACAGGGUGACAGCCCCGUACACAAAAAUGCACAUGCUGUGAGCUCGAUGAGUAGGGCGGGACACGUGGUAUCCUGUCUGAAUAUGGGGGGACCAUCCUCCAAGGCUAAAUACUCCUGACUGACCGAUAGUGAACCAGUACCGUGAGGGAAAGGCGAAAAGAACCCCGGCGAGGGGAGUGAAAAAGAACCUGAAACCGUGUACGUACAAGCAGUGGGAGCACGCUUCGGCGUGUGACUGCGUACCUUUUGUAUAAUGGGUCAGCGACUUAUAUUCUGUAGCAAGGUUAACCGAAUAGGGGAGCCGAAGGGAAACCGAGUCUUAACUGGGCGUUAAGUUGCAGGGUAUAGACCCGAAACCCGGUGAUCUAGCCAUGGGCAGGUUGAAGGUUGGGUAACACUAACUGGAGGACCGAACCGACUAAUGUUGAAAAAUUAGCGGAUGACUUGUGGCUGGGGGUGAAAGGCCAAUCAAACCGGGAGAUAGCUGGUUCUCCCCGAAAGCUAUUUAGGUAGCGCCUCGUGAAUUCAUCUCCGGGGGUAGAGCACUGUUUCGGCAAGGGGGUCAUCCCGACUUACCAACCCGAUGCAAACUGCGAAUACCGGAGAAUGUUAUCACGGGAGACACACGGCGGGUGCUAACGUCCGUCGUGAAGAGGGAAACAACCCAGACCGCCAGCUAAGGUCCCAAAGUCAUGGUUAAGUGGGAAACGAUGUGGGAAGGCCCAGACAGCCAGGAUGUUGGCUUAGAAGCAGCCAUCAUUUAAAGAAAGCGUAAUAGCUCACUGGUCGAGUCGGCCUGCGCGGAAGAUGUAACGGGGCUAAACCAUG
RNAcentral lists this ribosomal RNA (864 nucleotides) under Escherichia coli. RNAcentral describes it as "partial 23S ribosomal RNA". It matches the Rfam family "Bacterial large subunit ribosomal RNA", at positions 323 to 1191 of the family's 2925-position model. The record is from RNAcentral. Lineage: Bacteria; Pseudomonadati; Pseudomonadota; Gammaproteobacteria; Enterobacterales; Enterobacteriaceae.